AUGGCGGGCGCCGAAGGGCUCCCAGCGGACCUCCUCGCGGCGAUCUACCGCCGGUGCGCCUCGGCGUACGACCGCGCCCGCUUCGCCGCCGUCUGCACGUCGUGGCGUGCCGUCGCGUUGUGGCACCCGAAGCUACCGGCUAUCCCGCUGUUGCUUCCGUCGACCGCCAAUGGCCGGCGCGACCGGAUGACGCGGGCGUACAGCCCAGAGGACGGCAGGGUCCUGCGUGCCCCGCUGCCCGGGUUCCCCAAGUGCAGGCAGAUCGUGGGUUCCCACGACGGCGGCUGGGUCGCCGCCGCCACUGGCUCCCGGAUCGUGGUCGUGAACCUCUUCGCCCGCGGCCGCGUGCUGCUCUCUCGGGACUUUACAUGUACAUGCCCCUUUGCUAGACAAGCCCCUCACAAGAUCUACAUUCAAAAAAUCAUCUUCUCGGAGGAUCCUGUCUCAAAAGGCUGCAUUCUUGCCGCGAUAACCACUACAGGGUGCAACAUAGGUCUUUAUAGGCGUGGCAGCCUGGAGGACGGUGGUGCGGAUGGUGGGUGGAUCACACGAGGGUGCGGGUGGGUGGACCACGGAUUCCCUACACUCAAAGACAUCGCCUUUUGCAACGGCGAGCUGUACGGUCUUUCGUGGACCAAAAUGUUAUACAGGUUCAUCAUCGGGCAGAACAAAUCCGGCGCGCCGGUGAUCACCUCAGUCGACCAGGUAACCAUGGCACCCAUCGGCUACGAGGAUGCCAAGUAUAUCAUCGAGCUAUGCGGCAAGCUUGCAAUAGCACUGGAGAUCAGGCUGCAAGUGGACACGGGCUGUCCGCGGCGCCCGCAUAAAAACCCACAUAAUCAACUUUUGCGGACGCCCGCGGAUAGAGCAGCCAGAUAUGUGGGAUAUGUGGGCUGUCCCGCGGCGUCCGCAUCAAGGCCACGUUUCCGCGAUGAUGCAAUGAUUAUUAGGGGGCGCCGCCGCCGUCCAGUUCCGCCAUGGUCGCAAGACCGCCUUCCAGUUCCGCCGCAGCGCUGCUGUUACACCGCAUGGCCUUUUCCACCCCCCGCCUGGCGCGUCGUACACGGCGCCAUGUCGUACGGGCCUUUACCCGUACAUGAGCCUGAACUGGAGAUCUCGAACCAAUCCAAGGGUAAAAAAAUUACGGUGUUUGAACUCGCCGUCAACCCUAACAAAACAACAGGAUCGUCCUCGUACGUAUGGGUGAAGGUGGUGAACCUGGGAGAUCAUGCCCUGUUCCUGGGGGCAGGAUGCUGCAAGGCGGUGCGCGUGUCGACCGCGGACAAGCGCGGCAUAGUGGAAGCAAACUGUAUCUACUACUCCUCUAACAACGACUAUCCAAGCAACUUGGUGAGGGUGGACCUCGGCAGCUGUUUUGUGUAUUGCUGUGAAAGCAACUCGCACCACUCACAAAGGAUCCUGUCACGGGGAUACUAUUGCUACACGAAGGAUACCCGUAGUGUGGCAAAUCGCCAACUUAGCCUCCGCCUGAGAACAUGGAUUCCACCAGGUCUCAACCUCCACAUCAGCACCGCGAAGACACCUCCCCAUCAACGCCACAAAGCCUGCUGCCUGCUAAUCUCCACCACCUCAGCAUGGCAGUGGAUGAUGGUGCAGCAGCGGCAUAUGGGAACAGAGGAAUGGAAGAACCUUGUUUAG
RNAcentral lists this ribosomal RNA (1659 nucleotides) under Triticum aestivum (bread wheat). RNAcentral's name for it is "partial small subunit ribosomal RNA". The record is from RNAcentral. Lineage: Eukaryota; Viridiplantae; Streptophyta; Magnoliopsida; Poales; Poaceae.